AGAGUUUGAUCAUGGCUCAGAUUGAACGCUGGCGGCAUGCCUUACACAUGCAAGUCGAACGGUAACAGGGAGCUUGCUCUGCUGACGAGUGGCGAACGGGUGAGUAAUAUAUCGGAACGUGCCCUGGAGUGGGGGAUAACUAGUCGAAAGAUUAGCUAAUACCGCAUACGAUCUCAGGAUGAAAGUGGGGGAUUCGCAAGGACCUCAUGCUCGUGGAGCGGCCGAUAUCUGAUUAGCUAGUUGGUAGGGUAAAAGCCUACCAAGGCAUCGAUCAGUAGCUGGUCUGAGAGGACGACCAGCCACACUGGGACUGAGACACGGCCCAGACUCCUACGGGAGGCAGCAGUGGGGAAUUUUGGACAAUGGGCGCAAGCCUGAUCCAGCAAUGCCGCGUGAGUGAAGAAGGCCUUCGGGUUGUAAAGCUCUUUUGUCAGGGAAGAAACGGUUUGGCUUAAUACGCUGAGCUAAUGACGGUACCUGAAGAAUAAGCACCGGCUAACUACGUGCCAGCAGCCGCGGUAAUACGUAGGGUGCAAGCGUUAAUCGGAAUUACUGGGCGUAAAGCGUGCGCAGGCGGUUAUGUAAGACAGAUGUGAAAUGCCCGGGCUUAACCUGGGAACUGCAUUUGUGACUGCAUGGCUAGAGUGUGUCAGAGGGGGGUAGAAUUCCACGUGUAGCAGUGAAAUGCGUAGAUAUGUGGAGGAAUACCGAUGGCGAAGGCAGCCCCCUGGGAUAACACUGACGCUCAUGCACGAAAGCGUGGGGAGCAAACAGGAUUAGAUACCCUGGUAGUCCACGCCCUAAACGAUGUCUACUAGUUGUCGGGUCUUAAUUGACUUGGUAACGCAGCUAACGCGUGAAGUAGACCGCCUGGGGAGUACGGUCGCAAGAUUAAAACUCAAAGGAAUUGACGGGGACCCGCACAAGCGGUGGAUGAUGUGGAUUAAUUCGAUGCAACGCGAAAAACCUUACCUACCCUUGACAUGUCAGAGAGCUCGAAGAGAUUUGAGUGUGCUCGAAAGAGAAUCUGAACACAGGUGCUGCAUGGCUGCCGUCAGCUCGUGUCGUGAGAUGUUGGGUUAAGUCCCGCAACGAGCGCAACCCUUGUCAUUAGUUGCUACGAAAGGGCACUCUAAUGAGACUGCCGGUGACAAACCGGAGGAAGGUGGGGAUGACGUCAAGUCCUCAUGGCCCUUAUGGGUAGGGCUUCACACGUCAUACAAUGGUACAUACAGAGGGCUGCCAACCCGCGAGGGGGAGCUAAUCCCAGAAAGUGUAUCGUAGUCCGGAUUGGAGUCCGCAACUCGACUCCAUGAAGUUGGAAUCGCUAGUAAUCGCGGAUCAGCAUGUCGCGGUGAAUACGUUCCCGGGUCUUGUACACACCGCCCGUCACACCAUGGGAGCGGGUUUUACCAGAAGUAGGUAGCCUAACCGCAAGGAGGGCGCUUACCACGGUAGGAUUCGUGACUGGGGUGAAGUCGUAACAAGGUA
Molecule: ribosomal RNA, 1491 nt
Filed under: metagenome
Description: bacterial SSU rRNA
Rfam family: Bacterial small subunit ribosomal RNA
Source: RNAcentral